RNAcentral lists this ribosomal RNA (525 nucleotides) under Metarhizium anisopliae. Its description in RNAcentral is "partial 18S ribosomal RNA". The stretch from base 149 to 298 matches the Rfam family "5.8S ribosomal RNA". The record is from RNAcentral. Lineage: Eukaryota; Fungi; Ascomycota; Sordariomycetes; Hypocreales; Clavicipitaceae.
GAGGGAUCAUUACCGAGUUAUCCAACUCCCAACCCCUGUGAAUUAUAUUUAAUUGUUGCUUCGGCGGGACUUCGCGCCCGCCGGGGACCCAAACCUUCUGAAUUUUUUAAUAAGUAUCUUCUGAGUGGUUAUUUUAUUAAUGAAUCAAAACUUUCAACAACGGAUCUCUUGGUUCAUCGAUGAAGAACGCAGCGAAAUGCGAUAAGUAAUGUGAAUUGCAGAAUUCAGUGAAUCAUCGAAUCUUUGAACGCACAUUGCGCCCGUCAGUAUUCUGGCGGGCAUGCCUGUUCGAGCGUCAUUACGCCCCUCAAGUCCCCUGUGGACUUGGUGUUGGGGAUCGGCGAGGCUGGGUUUGCAUAUUACGGCGUUAAGCCCCAGCACAGCCGUCCCUCAAAUCAAUUGGCGGUCUCGCCGUGGGGCUUCCUCUGCGCAGUAGUAAAACACUCGCAACAGGAGCCCGGCGCGGUCCACUGCCGUAAAAACCCCCAACUUAAUUUUAUAGUUGACCUCGAAUCAGGUAGGACU